CAGCUUCCUAAGCAUUAAAGAAAGGAAGUGGCCCCACUGAGCAAAUUCCUUGAAAAUGAAAACACAAGUCGAAGUUGUGAGAAGCUGCAGAGUCACAAGGUACCCGCCUCUUCUCAAAGGUAUGAGGAUGAGACUGACGAUGAAACCAGCCCUACCCAGAAGGAACGCAUAGCUUAGAAAAGAGAAUGAGAAAGAUCGUGACCAGAGGGACAGUGAAGAGGAAAAAGAGAAGAACACCCACACCAGAAUCCAGGAGGGAACUGCCGGCUGUCUCCUCUUCUGGGUGCUGAAGACAGAGGGAGGGGACGCCAGGCAGAUUUAAGGCCUACGGACAUCAGAAGUGCGGCGACCAGAGGCAUUAGAGGUGGUGGUAACAGAGG
This is a long non-coding RNA of Gorilla gorilla gorilla (western lowland gorilla), 380 nucleotides long. RefSeq lists it as uncharacterized. The record is from RefSeq and is a predicted model, not a curated record. The transcript is spliced from 4 exons. NCBI's taxonomy places the organism in Eukaryota, Metazoa, Chordata, Mammalia, Primates, Hominidae.